RNAcentral lists this small RNA (470 nucleotides) under Vigna angularis var. angularis. RNAcentral describes it as "Non-protein coding transcript". The record is from RNAcentral. Lineage: Eukaryota; Viridiplantae; Streptophyta; Magnoliopsida; Fabales; Fabaceae.
GUCUUCUUCGUACUUCCUAUCAUCGACUGCACAGUGCCUUCACUUUCAACCAUUCACAGUUUUGGACGCAUAAUGUCUUCUUCUCUUUCUACUGUUGACAUUGGCCGCUGCCAUUGGUGCAUCCUGUGCUUUUAGACACAUUUCUCGACGACGUUGGCCGCUUCUCAAUGUUCUAUUCCUGCCAUUGCCCCCUCUUCACCGUCAACGUGGACUGCAUCGCAGGCUUUGGACCCUAUUCGCAUGACGCAUCACAUUGGCCCUCCGUUUAGGCACUGUUCUCCUUUCUGCCAUUACCAUUGUCAUUGUUCUCCUUCCUUCACAAAUGUUGUCGCGGAGAUACCCUUGGAGCAAGGGCUGGAGGUUACUGAUGUUGCGGAGUAGUCUUCUUAGGAAUUUCCUGAUUGAACACUUGUAGUCUUUAAUCCUUUCAACUGUUCAAGUUUAAAUUUUCUGUUUCUUUUAUUUCUAGA